This 506-nucleotide ribosomal RNA is filed under the name uncultured bacterium. RNAcentral describes it as "partial 16S ribosomal RNA". It matches the Rfam family "Bacterial small subunit ribosomal RNA", at positions 28 to 523 of the family's 1533-position model. The record is from RNAcentral.
GAUGAACGCUAGCUACAGGCUUAACACAUGCAAGUCGAGGGGUAACGAGAGGAAAGCUUGCUUUCCUUGUCGACGACCGGCGCACGGGUGAGCAACGCGUAUCCAACCUGCCCCCAACUAGGGAAUAACCUUGCGAAAGUAAGACUAAUACCCUAUAAUUUCCUCAGAUGACAUCUGACGAGGAAUAAAGAUUUAUCGGUUGUGGAUGGGGAUGCGUCUGAUUAGCUUGUUGGCGGGGUAACGGCCCACCAAGGCAACGAUCAGUAGGGGUUCUGGGAGAGAGGUCCCCCACAUUGGAACUGAGACACGGUCCAAACUCCUACGGGAGGCAGCAGUGAGGAAUAUUGGUCAAUGGGCGGAAGCCUGAUCCAGCCAAGUAGCGUGCAGGAUGACGGACCUAUGGGUUGUAAACUGCUUUUAUACAGGAAUAAAGUUAGCCACGUGUGGUUAUUUGUAGGUACUGUAUGAAUAAGGACCGGCUAAUUCCGUGCCAGCAGCCGCGGUAA